Hemibagrus wyckioides is the source of this 1743-nucleotide RNA transcript. It is a transcript of the gene named desmin b, with no coding region annotated. Lineage: Eukaryota; Metazoa; Chordata; Actinopteri; Siluriformes; Bagridae. The transcript is spliced from 10 exons. The record is from RefSeq and is a predicted model, not a curated record.
GCUGUUGAUCGUCCCCUCACUCCUGUCCUCUUUCCUCUCUUCUUCUGUGUGAGUGCGUGUGGCUGCUUUGUCCUUCCAAAAUGAGCCGCGCCUCUUACGCCUCCUCCCAGUCCUCCUCAUACCGCCGUGCCUUCGGUGGGCCCGGCUUCACCACAGCCCCCAUUACCCGUUCCUCUAUGCUUGGCCGUGGCUCUGGGGGCUCACAUGUCAGCUCACGGGUCUACGAGGUCACCAAGACAUCAUCUUCAGCAUCACCGGGCUACAGCAGCUACCGCACAUCUUCCUAUGGCCUCCCUGCUCUGUCCACAGGCAUCUCUCGCUCUUAUGCCGGCAUGGGUGAGACAUUGGACUUCAGCCUGGCCGAUGCCCUCAACCAGGAGUUCCUGCAAACACGCACCAACGAGAAGGCUGAACUGCAGCACCUGAACGACCGCUUUGCUAGCUACAUUGAGAAGGUGCGCUUCCUAGAGCAGCAGAACCAGACUCUGACGGUGGAAGUGGAGCGACUGCGGGGCCGUGAGCCAACGCGUAUUGCUGACCUUUAUGAGGAAGAGAUGAGGGAGCUGAGGCGCCAGAUAGAGGUCGUGACCAAUCAGAGGUCCCGAGUUGAAGUGGAGCGAGACAACUUGGCUGAUGACUUGCAGAAACUCAAACUCAGGCUUCAGGAGGAGAUUGCACAGAGAGAGGAGGCCGAGAACAACCUUGCAGCAUUCAGAGCUGAUGUGGAUGCAGCCACCCUCGCCCGUCUGGACCUGGAGAGACGCAUCGAAACUCUGCAAGAGGAAAUUGCCUUCCUCAAGAAGAUCCACGAGGAGGAGAUCCGUGAGUUGCAGGCUCAGAUGCAAGAGACUCAGGUGCAGAUCCAGAUGGAUAUGUCCAAGCCUGAUCUGACUGGUGCUCUGAGAGACAUUCGCUCUCAGUAUGAGGCCAUCGCCGCCAAGAACAUUGCCGAGGCUGAAGACUGGUACAAGUCCAAGGUGUCAGACCUGAACCAAGCAGUAUCCAAGAACAACGAAGCCCUGAAGCAGGCCAAGCUGGAGACCAUGGAGUACCGACACCAGAUUCAGUCCUACACCUGUGAGAUUGACUCACUGAAGGGCACGAACGAGUCUCUGAUGAGGCAGAUGCAAGACAUGGAGGACCGACAUGGACGCGAGGCUGCCAGCUUCCAGGACACAAUUGCUCGGCUGGAGGCCGAGAUCGCUAACAUGAAGGAUGAAAUGGCACGACACCUGCGCGAAUACCAGGACCUGCUCAAUGUCAAGAUGGCCCUGGAUGUGGAGAUUGCCACCUACAGGAAACUGCUGGAGGGAGAAGAGAGCAGGAUUACGCUGCCCAUGCAGGCCUACUCCACAAUUAGCUUUAGAGAGACCAGCCCAGAGCGCCAGCAACGAGCCUCCGAAAUGCACUCAAAGAAGACAGUGCUCAUCAAAACCAUCGAAACCCGUGAUGGCGAGGUAGUGAGUGAAUCUACACAGCACCAGCAGGACAUCAUGUAGAGCUUCACCAAAGGAGCUGAACCACAAAAGCCACAAGUGGUUUCAAUAAAUCCAUAAGAGCAAAACCAUAAGAGAGGAACCUGGGAAGAAGAAAGGACAAAGGUCAAAACACAGGAAGGGGCUAAUAUGUAGGUGAAUAAAGAGAGCAAGAGAGGACAGGAGGAAGGGUAAACGAUGAGGAAUUAACUGGUAGCCGUGACAUGUACGAUGAAAUCAAAAUAAAGUAAAUACGCAUCAACCACUC